CACUUGUCUUUAUUUUUGUCAAGAGAAUAGUAUAACUUAUGAAAUUUGUGGCAGGGUUAGGUACUUAGGUGUAUAAUAAUGUUCCUUGUUAUUCAAAUUUCAAGCAGCCAAAGAAAUAAUUUUAAAUUUUAUCUUUUAUGGGAGAUAUCUUAUCUUUGUUCACGAGCCAAUUAAUUUCGUAUUUAUAGGUAUAAGAGAAAGAGAGAAAGGGAUAGACGUGGAGAAAUGGAAAAUUUAUGCCACGUCAAUCUCACGCAUUUGCAUCCCAUUUUUACGUUUUUGAUUAGCCAAAUGCCAACUUUUCUCUUCAAGUUGCUCAGUGUUCA
RNAcentral lists this long non-coding RNA (326 nucleotides) under Brassica rapa (field mustard). RNAcentral describes it as "long non-coding RNA (BRAP_LNC004679)". The record is from RNAcentral. Lineage: Eukaryota; Viridiplantae; Streptophyta; Magnoliopsida; Brassicales; Brassicaceae.